UCUGGCAAACAUUGUCUGUCUUAUAUAUAAUUUUGCGUUUAAAAUUGAGGAACGUCUUUCCAUUGAAGAAGAAAACCACGAUAUUGACGAAGUAAUUGAAGAAAUUUGUUUGGAUGUUGCAAUUGCGAUUCGUGAUUGCUUGAAAAAUGCUUAUGAAAAUAUGUCAGACUUUGUGGGUAAUAUACAAGCAGUGAUGAAGAAAAAGAAGAUGUUUGUGGAAGAGUUGGAGAAACAAUUGUCUUACCUGAAAACUAGGUCGAAAUCAUAUUUGUAAUUGUGUAUAUACCAUCUCCAUCUAGAACCAACUCUGAUUAGGGAGGAAUCCGCGAUAAUAGUUUGACAGAAAUUUUUUUAAUUAUUUGUAAUAUCACUGCGCUGUCGCCAAGUUCGUAGACGAAUGAUGAAUGAAUUUGGAAAUCGAAAAAUGAAAUACUUACAAAUCCAUUCUAGGUUGUCCAUUUCUUCCAACUCCUCGUUAAAUACAUUUGCAGAACUAUCUAUAUUUACAACAUCCGGCUUAGAGGCUGUUAAGUAAAGAAUUUCUGUAACACGCCAAAUUGGGUGUGCCCAUAAAUGAAGUCUUGGAAAAACCCGUCCGCAUUACUGGAAAAGUUUUCACAAAAAUGGGCACCACGUCCUCAAAUAACAAAAUCGUCAACGACACAAGCACCGACAUCGUCAGCAUUUCUGUAUCAGGGUUGGAUGGCUUCGAUUGUGAAGAGUAAUCAUCCAAGCAGCAAACAA
Long non-coding RNA from Zophobas morio, 744 nucleotides. RefSeq lists it as uncharacterized. The record is from RefSeq and is a predicted model, not a curated record. Lineage: Eukaryota; Metazoa; Arthropoda; Insecta; Coleoptera; Tenebrionidae. The transcript has 3 exons.